CCUACGGGAGGCAGCAGUGAGGAAUAUUGGUCAAUGUGCGCUAGCCUGAACCAGCCAAGUCGCGUGAAGGAUGACUGCCCUAUGGGUUGUAAACUUCUUUUAUAUGGGAAUAAAGUGCAGUAUGUAUACUUCUUUGCAUGUAACUUAUGAAUAAGGAUCGGCUAACUCCGUUCCCGCAGCCGCGGUAAUACGGAGGAUCCGAGCGUUUUCCGGAUUUAUUGGGUUUAAAGGGAGCGUAGGCGGGUUGUUAAAUCAGUUGUGAAAGUUUGCGGCUCAAACGUAAAAUUGCAGUUGAUACUGGCUGCCGUGAGUACAGUAGAGGUAGGCGGAAUGCGUGGUGUAGCGGUGAAAUGCUGAGAUAUCACGAAGAACUCCGAGUGCGAAGGCAGCCUGCUGGACUGUAACUGACGCUGAUGCUCGAAAGCGUGGGGAGCAAACAGGAUUAGAUACCCGAGUAGUC
This 460-nucleotide ribosomal RNA is filed under the name uncultured bacterium. RNAcentral describes it as "partial 16S ribosomal RNA". It matches the Rfam family "Bacterial small subunit ribosomal RNA", at positions 338 to 795 of the family's 1533-position model. The record is from RNAcentral.